AAACGCUCUUUAAUGGAACUUUAGCUUUAGCUGGUCGUGACCAAGAAACCACCAGUUUCGCUUGGUGGGUCGGGAAAUGCGUAGAGAUCGGAAAGAACACCAAUAGCUAAAGCACUCUACUGGGCCGACACUGACACUGAGAGACGAAAGCUAGGGGAGCGAAUGGGAUUAGAUACCCCAGUAGUCUUAGCCGUAAACGAUGGAUACUAGGCGCUGUGCGUAUCGACCCGUGCGAAAUCAAGAAGAAAAAGAAUCCG
RNAcentral lists this non-coding RNA (257 nucleotides) under Vitis vinifera (wine grape). RNAcentral describes it as "Bacterial small subunit ribosomal RNA". It matches the Rfam family "Bacterial small subunit ribosomal RNA", at positions 615 to 869 of the family's 1533-position model. The record is from Rfam by way of RNAcentral. Lineage: Eukaryota; Viridiplantae; Streptophyta; Magnoliopsida; Vitales; Vitaceae.